CCACCCCCCUCCCCACCUCUUCCUUCCUUCCUGCAAAUGGGUGUUAACGUGGGUCUUUAUGUUCUGUCUAUAACUAGGAUGUAAUCACGCGCCCCAUGCCUCUCUCUAAAAGCAUUUAAUAAAUGUCUAUUAAAGCGCUACAAAUGUAA
Molecule: long non-coding RNA, 149 nt
Filed under: Mus musculus (house mouse)
Lineage: Eukaryota; Metazoa; Chordata; Mammalia; Rodentia; Muridae
Also listed under: 1 other name
Description: predicted gene 44948
Source: RNAcentral